AUUGAACGCUGGCGGCAUGCUUUACACAUGCAAGUCGAACGGCAGCGCGGGCUUCGGCCUGGCGGCGAGUGGCGAACGGGUGAGUAAUGCAUCGGAACGUGCCCAGUAGUGGGGGAUAGCCCGGCGAAAGCCGGAUUAAUACCGCAUACGACCUGAGGGUGAAAGCGGGGGACCGAAAGGCCUCGCGCUAUUGGAGCGGCCGAUGACGGAUUAGCUAGUUGGUGGGGUAAAGGCUUACCAAGGCGACGAUCCGUAGCUGGUCUGAGAGGACGACCAGCCACACGGGGACUGAGACACGGCCCAGACGCCUACGGGAGGCAGCAGUGGGGAAUUUUGGACAAUGGGGGCAACCCUGAUCCAGCCAUGCCGCGUGCGGGAAGAAGGCCUUCGGGUUGUAAACCGCUUUUGUUCGGGAAGAAAUCCUCUGGGCUAAUACCCCGGGGGGAUGACGGUACCGGAAGAAUAAGCACCGGCUAACUACGUG
Molecule: ribosomal RNA, 484 nt
Filed under: uncultured bacterium
Lineage: Bacteria
Description: partial 16S ribosomal RNA
Rfam family: Bacterial small subunit ribosomal RNA
Source: RNAcentral